GAUGAACGCUGGCGGCGUGCCUAAUACAUGCAAGUCGAGCGAACGGACGAGAAGCUUGCUUCUCUGAUGUUAGCGGCGGACGGGUGAGUAACACGUGGAUAACCUACCUAUAAGACUGGGAUAACUUCGGGAAACCGGAGCUAAUACCGGAUAAUAUUUUGAACCGCAUGGUUCAAAAGUAAAAGACGGUCUUGCUGUCACUUAUAGAUGGAUCCGCGCUGCAUUAGCUAGUUGGUAAGGUAACGGCUUACCAAGGCAACGAUGCAUAGCCGACCUGAGAGGGUGAUCGGCCACACUGGAACUGAGACACGGUCCAGACUCCUACGGGAGGCAGCAGUAGGGAAUCUUCCGCAAUGGGCGAAAGCCUGACGGAGCAACGCCGCGUGAGUGAUGAAGGUCUUCGGAUCGUAAAACUCUGUUAUUAGGGAAGAAUAUAUGUGUAAGUAACUGUGCACAUCUUGACGGUACCUAAUCAGAAAGCCACGGCUAACUACGUGCCAGCAGCCGCGGUAAUACGUAGGUGGCAAGCGUUAUCCGGAAUUAUUGGGCGUAAAGCGCGCGUAGGCGGUUUUUUAAGUCUGAUGUGAAAGCCCACGGCUCAACCGUGGAGGGUCAUUGGAAACUGGAAAACUUGAGUGCAGAAGAGGAAAGUGGAAUUCCAUGUGUAGCGGUGAAAUGCGCAGAGAUAUGGAGGAACACCAGUGGCGAAGGCGACUUUCUGGUCUGUAACUGACGCUGAUGUGCGAAAGCGUGGGGAUCAAACAGGAUUAGAUACCCUGGUAGUCCACGCCGUAAACGAUGAGUGCUAAGUGUUAGGGGGUUUCCGCCCCUUAGUGCUGCAGCUAACGCAUUAAGCACUCCGCCUGGGGAGUACGACCGCAAGGUUGAAACUCAAAGGAAUUGACGGGGACCCGCACAAGCGGUGGAGCAUGUGGUUUAAUUCGAAGCAACGCGAAGAACCUUACCAAAUCUUGACAUCCUUUGACAACUCUAGAGAUAGAGCCUUCCCCUUCGGGGGACAAAGUGACAGGUGGUGCAUGGUUGUCGUCGGCUCGUGUCGUGAGAUGUUGGGUUAGGUCCCGCAACGAGCGCAACCCUUAAGCUUAGUUGCCAUCAUUAAGUUGGGCACUCUAAGUUGACUGCCGGUGACAAACCGGAGGAAGGUGGGGAUGACGUCAAAUCAUCAUGCCCCUUAUGAUUUGGGCUACACACGUGCUACAAUGGACAAUACAAAGGGCAGCGAAACCGCGAGGUCAAGCAAAUCCCAUAAAGUUGUUCUCAGUUCGGAUUGUAGUCUGCAACUCGACUACAUGAAGCUGGAAUCGCUAGUAAUCGUAGAUCAGCAUGCUACGGUGAAUACGUUCCCGGGUCU
Molecule: ribosomal RNA, 1372 nt
Filed under: uncultured bacterium
Lineage: Bacteria
Description: bacterial SSU rRNA
Rfam family: Bacterial small subunit ribosomal RNA
Source: RNAcentral